Molecule: ribosomal RNA, 350 nt
Filed under: uncultured bacterium
Lineage: Bacteria
Description: partial 16S ribosomal RNA
Rfam family: Bacterial small subunit ribosomal RNA
Source: RNAcentral
CCUACGGGAGGCAAUGCCCGGAUGAUGACGGUACCCCUGGAAUAAGCCACGGCUAACUCUGUGCCAGCAGCCGCGGUAAGACAGAGGCGGCGAGCGUUACCCGGAUUCACUGGGCGUAAAGGGUGCGUAGGCGGUCGCGCAUGUCGUCGGUGAAAUCUCCCUGCUCAACGGGGAGAGGUCCGACGAAACUGCGCGGCUGGAGGGCCGGAGAGGGAGGCGGAACUUCCAGAGUAGCGGUGGAAUGCGUAGAUACCGGAAGGUACCUCAAUAGCGAAGGCAGCCUCCUGGCGGGUUCCUGACGCUGAGGAACGAAAGCGUGGGGAGCAAACCGGAUUAGAUCCCCGGGUAGU